RNAcentral lists this unclassified non-coding RNA (249 nucleotides) under fungal sp. Its description in RNAcentral is "partial internal transcribed spacer region". The stretch from base 1 to 46 matches the Rfam family "Eukaryotic small subunit ribosomal RNA", at positions 1786 to 1831 of the family's 1831-position model. The record is from RNAcentral. Lineage: Eukaryota; Fungi.
AAGUCGUAACAAGGUUUCCGUAGGUGAACCUGCGGAAGGAUCAUUACCAAAAAGGGUACCCAUCUCUGAUAUUGAUGUAAAGUCAAAAUCCGAUUUGGGUAUCCUAUCCAAACACCCCAAACUUUGUGUGCACUGUUUUUUUUUUAAAAACACAUCAACUCCAAUUCAUUACAAAACUUGUCUUACAUUUAUUUAUAAUAAUAUAUAAUAUAAAAAAUACAACUUUUAACAACGGAUCUCUUGGCUCUC